GCGGGGUUGUAGAAAGACACAGAAAUGGCGAGUGUUGAGGUCUGUAGGAGAGAAGAGCGUGAGGCGUGGAGCGAGGAACCGAGUUUAGGUGGUUGGUGGUGGUAGCUUGUCUCUUUCAGUUUCAUCAAAUUCUGUGAAAUUUUGAGGCACAAAGGUUUUCAGGGACCUGAGGCGCCGAGACUGACAUUUUAAUUGAUUUU
This 200-nucleotide unclassified non-coding RNA is filed under the name Hevea brasiliensis (rubber tree). The record is from RNAcentral. Lineage: Eukaryota; Viridiplantae; Streptophyta; Magnoliopsida; Malpighiales; Euphorbiaceae.